Molecule: long non-coding RNA, 254 nt
Filed under: Elaeis guineensis (African oil palm)
Lineage: Eukaryota; Viridiplantae; Streptophyta; Magnoliopsida; Arecales; Arecaceae
Description: long non-coding RNA (EGUI_LNC023593)
Source: RNAcentral
CCCAAGAAUCAGGAUAAGAAUGGGACCUCUCCCAAUAAAAUGGCCAAAAUAAGAGUCAUUCAUUUCCAUUCCCCUUCCGGAUUCCAACUCCUCCCAAUCAAAUAUACUCUUAUUUUAUUUGAUGCAUUCUUCAUUCCUGGGGAUUUUCCUUGUUAAUUAUUUCUUUUUUCCCUUUCCAACAAUGUAUUUUUAAUUACAUUAAAAAGCUGUACGGCAUGAAUUUCAUUAUGUUGUUUGAUGCUUAGUUAGGCCAC